Prionailurus viverrinus (fishing cat) is the source of this 314-nucleotide long non-coding RNA. RefSeq lists it as uncharacterized. The record is from RefSeq and is a predicted model, not a curated record. NCBI's taxonomy places the organism in Eukaryota, Metazoa, Chordata, Mammalia, Carnivora, Felidae. The transcript is spliced from 2 exons.
CAAAGUGUCACAUGUUCCAACGGAUGGCCUUCAUCUUACAGAAAGGAAAACUCAAGUCUCCUUGCUUAAACAGUCACAUUUAUAAAGACAAUCUCAAAGGAAAUGACAGAAAGGAAGGCUUUUGGAAUGCAGAUGUAAUGACUGGAGCUCAUGCAGCCAUUAUGAAUCAGGAGGCAAUCUGCUAUAGAUGGAAGAGCUGCAAGACCUAAGGAACCUGGGUCUAGGAUGACACUGAUUCCACCAUACCAACCGUACACUGCCUACCUCUUCACUUUUUCAUGAGAUGAAAACAUAAACCCUUAUCGUUCAAGCCA